GUCAAAGUUGAAAUUAGUACAAAACAUUGGACCAGCAUGAAGAAGGAGCAAUGUAAAAGGUUUCGUUUUUAUAAGGCAUCAUCAGACCGGUAUUAACAUUGUGUUUGGAUAUUGUUGGGUCUCUGUAGGUCCUCAAAAAGUAAUGAAAAUGGAGAUAUCAAUCUUGCAGCUACAGUUGUGUUUACAUAUAGUUAGCUAACAUGUUUCAUAGCUAACCAUACAACGUUAGCCUUUAAUACUUAAUUACAGUAUAAGUUACAGCUAACUGUCUUAUUACGUUCUGUCAUGAGCACGGACACCUAAUGUCACUUAUUCGACAGAUGGGAAGAGCGACAAAGCACAGACCUCUGCAGAGGAAGCAAGAAUGUAUUUUCACCCCCUGGAGAAGAGACCUCUGCAGUUGGUAGAGAGUCUCUUGGAGGAUAGCGUACUGGAGGACUUCCUGGUUGACUGUGAAAGCUUGAUCACUUCUGCCAAUUACAAAGACAGUUGAGGAGAGAUCUAUUGUGAAGCUGUGUGGCUAUCCUGUCUGUUCAAAUAAACUGGGCUAGGUCCCCACUCAACAGUUAAACAUUUCCACCAACACCAAUAAAGUCAAUGACAUUACAGAACGCAAGUCCUUCUGCAGUAAUUCUGCUACAAAGCCUCCAAGUCAUUUGAGCUGCAGAUUUCAAAGAGCCAUCUAUGAUUGAGGCAGCACGAGAGAUGUAAACUUAAUGAAUAAAGGAGAUUGCGGUAGCACUGGAGAGGAGGAGAGGCUGACUGAGGUGUUUCAGAGAGGAGGAUGUGAGGAACCUUCCCCUGUACUCUGUGGCCCCAGAGAACCCCAGAUGAUCCCGUACAGCCGGUCACAGCGACACAGAACAGCACUUUGUUUCCAGCGUAGUCUCCCAGCAACAGUUACCCAGGGUGCACUGGGGCAGUCUGCCCAAGCACACCAACGAAGGUGAGGGGGGGAGGGGAGGGAACGAGAAGAGGGAGAGAAGGUCGGGAGGGAAGGACACAAAGAUGCCAAAACAAACAAACAAGGCUGAAGACAAGAAAGAGGAGAAUACAGAAGAAUCACAGAAAGAACCAACAAAGACAAUCAAUGACAUAGGUGGACCCCAACAACACACAACAGGUACAAACCACCCCAGUGAGCAGUAGCCUUUCCUGGAAGAGAGAGGCUCACCAGAGGGCCGGUCUAUGGAGGAUGCCGCAGCACUACUGAGCCAAGUCACAAUGCAGGAUAGAGAUCCAGUCACGGUUACAUCUUCUGUACUAACAACCGUCAACACAGUGCGUGUACAGAAUCAAGAUCCAGCUCCAACUCCCAACCCUCAGUGGGACUCAACCCCAGCACAGCCCACCCAGCCGGGCCUCAGGAUCACCCAGGUGGGCAUGAGCAGGAGGGGGGCCCAGGGGCUCCUCAAGGGCCACGAAACUACUCCAAAACCUGGCUCGGUCUGACUGAACCUUCUAGAAGUCCUAUGGAGUUCCUUCGACGAAUGGUGGACUGAGGAGACUAUGAAGUUCCUAUAUGGCCCAGACCACUUUAAUAAAACAACAGUAGAAACGAAGAAGAAAAAGGAGGAGGAGGAAGAAGAACUGGAUGAAGAUAAGCUGGAGGAUGUUGUAGAAGGGGUUGGGGAUGGAGGGGACGGCGGGUCCCCAGAGGGUCAGGGAGUUCUACAAAGGGGAGCCCACUGGGUGUCAGGGAAAUGGGCCCUGAGACUCAGAGGUGAGUGGGGGAUAAGUGUAGUGUAGUAACCGUCAGUGUCCAGAUGGGGGCACUAUGUAUAAGCAUUGGAGAUGUUAAGUGUGAUGAUGAUGAUGGUCUUGUUUUUGAGGUUGGCUUUUACCAUGAAUAUGUUUUUUUGUCUCACUUCACUUCUUUCCCUCACUCUGUGUCUCCUCUCCUUUCCCAUCUAUGCUCUCUCUCCUUUCACACUCUUUCUCCUGUUUCACGCUCUUUCUCUCAUGCUCUCUCUCCACCCCACCCCCCCACCCAGGACCAGGGUGGUUGGUUGAUUCCCAUGCCUAGCACCUCAUACAGAAACACAUAAUGGUUGAGAAGCUCACUAGAGGGUGUGUGUGUCUGUAUGAAAAUGCUGCUACGGUUUUCAAAGUUCAAAAAACUGUUUUAUGCAAUGGAAAUGUGGUCACUGAUGUGCUGAUAGUUGACAACCAGCAAUAUUACAGAAGCAUUGGUAAGUACUAGCUCGGUCUUGUUGAACUUCGCAUCUCAGCAACUUAAGAAAUUAAAUCAAGUUCUGUGUAUAUGUGUGUGUAUUUAUAUGUCCGGUUUUCCUCAUCUGGGGAAACGUCUCACCAUGACUGACAUCUCCAGUGACCACAUCAGCCUGGUCAGGACCUUCAGGUCAGUGCCAAUGUCAACUCUGAGAGUUAAAGGGCCAAUCCUUAAUUGAAACAAUAAAAAAUGCCUCCCCACCUCUGUUUUGGUAAAAAGCUGAAGGAUGGGCCUGGAGAAAUGUAACUCUUCUCAAAUUCAUAGACAGAGCUAUGGAUGCAAGGCCUGAGCGUCCUAGAUUAGAGUUUCAAGCAUGUUUUGAGGCAAUACAGUGUUUGUUUAUAUUUGAAAUCUAAUUGUAUUGGUCGCAUACACAUAUUUAGCAGAUGCUACUGAAGAUGUAGCUAAAUGCUUGUUUACUAACAUUGGAGUGAAACAAGCUUAUAUUUUGGGUUCUGAUGGGGUAUGACAUUUGAACUUAGCUAAUAAAGCAAUUUCUAAGUUAUAUUCUUCAAGAAUCAAUGGGUAUGUAUCAUUAAUUUAUAAGUACAAAAAUGGAUGUAUUACACCGCAGACUGCUGUUUUAACACACCAUUUCCUACUACAGUGUCCAAUACUGUCUGGGAGAGAAACUGG
Oncorhynchus tshawytscha (Chinook salmon) is the source of this 2869-nucleotide long non-coding RNA. The record is from Ensembl. NCBI's taxonomy places the organism in Eukaryota, Metazoa, Chordata, Actinopteri, Salmoniformes, Salmonidae.